GCCGCGGUACUCUGACCGUGCGAAGGUAGCAUAAUCACUUGUUCUUUAAAUGGGGACUUGUAUCAACGGCAUCNNGAGGGCCAUACUGUCUCCUUUUUCCAAUCAGUGAAACUGAUCUUCCCGUGAAGAAGCGGGAAUUAACCUAUAAGACGAGAAGACCCCAUGGAGCUUUAAACCCAACAACAAGUCUAAAUAAACAUACCCUAAAAAUUAAUGACACCUGAACUGUUGGUUUUAGGUUGGGGUGACCGCGGAGUAUAAACUAACCUCCACGACGAACGGGACUAAACCCUUAUCUACGAGCCACCGCUCUAAGAAUCAGCACACUGACUUCUAAUGAUCCGAUAUUCGAUCAACGAACCAAGUUACCCUGGGGAUAACAGCGCUAUCCAUUUCAAGAGCUCCUAUCGACAAAUGGGUUUACGACCUCGAUGUU
Molecule: ribosomal RNA, 436 nt
Filed under: Indirana aff. leptodactyla VR-2017
Lineage: Eukaryota; Metazoa; Chordata; Amphibia; Anura; Ranixalidae
Description: partial 16S ribosomal RNA
Rfam family: Bacterial large subunit ribosomal RNA
Source: RNAcentral